This 406-nucleotide ribosomal RNA is filed under the name uncultured bacterium. RNAcentral describes it as "bacterial SSU rRNA". It matches the Rfam family "Bacterial small subunit ribosomal RNA", at positions 976 to 1381 of the family's 1533-position model. The record is from RNAcentral.
UACUCUUGACAUCCAGAGAACUUUCCAGAGAUGGAUUGGUGCCUUCGGGAACUCUGAGACAGGUGCUGCAUGGCUGUCGUCAGCUCGUGUUGUGAAAUGUUGGGUUAAGUCCCGUAACGAGCGCAACCCUUAUCCUUAUUUGCCAGCGAGUAAUGUCGGGAACUCUAAGGAGACUGCCGGUGACAAACCGGAGGAAGGUGGGGAUGACGUCAAGUCAUCAUGGCCCUUACGAGUAGGGCUACACACGUGCUACAAUGGCCGGUACAGAGGGCUGCAAACUCGCGAGAGUAAGCCAAUCUCACAAAACCGGUCGUAGUCCGGAUCGCAGUCUGCAACUCGACUGCGUGAAGUCGGAAUCGCUAGUAAUCGUGAAUCAGAAUGUCACGGUGAAUACGUUCCCGGGCCU